This 403-nucleotide ribosomal RNA is filed under the name uncultured bacterium. RNAcentral describes it as "partial 16S ribosomal RNA". It matches the Rfam family "Bacterial small subunit ribosomal RNA", at positions 30 to 526 of the family's 1533-position model. The record is from RNAcentral.
AUUGAACGCUGGCGGCAGGCCUAACACAUGCAAGUCGAGCGAGCGGCGGACGGGUGAGUAAUGUAUGGGGACUGCCCGAUAGCGGGGGAUAACUACUGGAAACGGUGGCUAAUACCGCAUACUAUCGGAUAACCCAUAUGGGAUUAGCUAGUAGGUGGGGUAAAGGCUCACCUAGGCGACGAUCUCUAGCUGGUCUGAGAGGAUGAUCGGCCGCACUGUGACUGUGAGACGGCCCAGACGCCUACGGAGGCAGCGGUGGGGAAUAUGGCACAAUGGGCGCAAGCCUGAUGCAGCCAUGCCGCGUGUAGGAGGAAGGCCUUAGGGUUGUAAAGUAGUUUAAGCGGGGAGGCGUUACCCGCAGAAGAAGCACCGGCUAACUCCGUGCCAGCAGCCGCGGUAAUUC